Molecule: long non-coding RNA, 2133 nt
Organism: Oncorhynchus tshawytscha (Chinook salmon)
Lineage: Eukaryota; Metazoa; Chordata; Actinopteri; Salmoniformes; Salmonidae
Source: Ensembl
GGGGUAGUUAGAUACUGGAGAAUCAGGUUAAUGGGGGUAGUUAGAUACUGGAGAAUCAGGGUAACGAGGGGAUAUGAGGAGCGAUUGGAGGUAGUUAGAUACUGGAGAAUCAGGUUAAUGGGGAGAGAUGGGAGGUAGUUAGAUACUGGAGAAUCAGGUUAACGAGGGGAUAUGAGGAGAGAUGGGAGGUAGUUAGAUACUGGAGAAUCAGGUUAAUGGGGAGAGAUGGGAGGUAGUUAGAUAUGAAGAGAGAUGGAAGGUAGUUAGAAGAUAUAAAAUGUGAAGAUUUUAACACUGAUGCCAAAGACACACUUUGAAACACCUUCACGACAGAAGCUCAAGCAGAUGGAAAAUGUGAGAUUUGACUCUGAAAGAAAUGAAUGUUUUGUCCUGAAUAGAAUGUUGCCAUUUAUAUGUCAGAGCAAAAGCUCAGCAGGAAAAUACUGUAUUACUAGAUUGGGAAUCAAAACUGUCCCCUGGGAUAUUUUUGGCAGCACAACACCGUGUCAUCUGAAUGUUAAAUCGUGAUUUAUACUGUCUAUUUACAUUUAAUUCAGACAAGAGCUGAAAUAUUAGUAACAUGCUUGUCUCUAUGGUAAUAUACAGUAUAUUAUAAUGGUAACAUAUCAUGCUUGUCUCUAUGGUAAUAUACAGUAUAUUAUAAUAUUAGUAACAUAUCAUGCUUGUCUCUAUGGUAAUAUACGGUAUAUUAUAAUAUUAGUAACAUGCUUGUCUCUCUGGUAAUAUACAGUAUAUUAUAAUAUUAGUAACAUGCUUGUCUCUAUGGUAAUAUACAGUAUAUUAUAAUAUUAGUAACAUGCUUGUCUCUAUGGUAAUAUACAGUAUAUUAUAAUAUUAGUAACAUGCUUGUCUCUAUGGUAAUAUACAGUAUAUUAUAAUGGUAACAUAUCAUGCUUGUCUCUAUGGUAAUAUACAGUAUAUUAUAAUAUUAGUAACAUGCUUGUCUCAUUGGUAAUAUACAGUAUAUUAUAAUAUUAGUAACAUGCUUGUCUCUAUGGUAAUAUACAGUAUAUUAUAAUAUUAGUAACAUGCUUGUCUCUAUGGUAAUACAGUAUAUUAUAAUAUUAGUAACAUGCUUGUCUCUAUGGUAAUAUACAGUAUAUUAUAAUAUUAGUAACAUAUCAUGCUUGUCUCUAUGGUAAUAUACAGUAUAUUAUAAUAUUAGUAACAUAUCAUGCUUGUCUCUAUGGUAAUAUACAGUAUAUUAUAAUAUUAGUAACAUGCUUGUCUCUAUGGUAAUAUACAGUAUAUUAUAAUAUUAGUAUCAUGCUUGUCUCUAUGGUAAUACAGUAUAUUAUAAUAUUAGUAACAUGCUUGUCUCUAUGGUAAUAUACAGUAUAUUAUAAUAUUAGUAACAUGCUUGUCUCUAUGGUAAUAUACAGUAUAUUAUAAUGGUAACAUAUCAUGCUUGUCUCUAUGGUAAUAUACAGUAUAUUAUAAUAUUAGUAACAUGCUUGUCUCUAUGGUAAUAUACAGUAUAUUAUAAUAUUAGUAACAUAUCAUGCUUGUCUCUGGUAAUAUACAGUAUAUUAUAAUAUUAGUAACAUGCUUGUCUCUAUGGUAAUAUACAGUAUAUUAUAGCAUUAUAGAGAUAUAUGGAGUGCAGGACUAGGACUAUAGACAGUAUAUUAUAGCGUUAUGGAGAUAUAUGGAGUGCAGGACUAGGACUAUAGACAGUAUAUUAUAGCGUUAUGGAGAUAUAUGGAGUGCAGGACUAGGACUAUAGACAGUAUAUUAUAGCGUUAUGGAGAUAUAUGGAGUGCAGGACUAGGAGUAUAUACAAGCCAGCGUCACUGUAUUACAAUUAAUAGCUAUUGAGUUAAUGAAUAUAUUUAUUCCAUAUCAUGAUUAUGUCUUUCACUACUGUAGAGAGAGAAUUCUCCCCUUUAAAAACUUCUAGUAUGUGCUUGGCCAUUCUGAGCCUUAUGAGUCGAUGGUCUACCAUUCUGAGCCUUAUGAGUCGAUGGUCUACCAUUCUGAGCCUUAUGAAUGGAUGGUCUACCAUUCUGAGCCUUAUGAAUGGAUGGUCUACCAUUCUGAGCCUUGUGGAUGGAUGGUCUACCAUUCUGAGCCUUGUGGAUGGAUGGUCUACCAUUCUGAGCCUUGUGGAUG